UACGUAGGUGGCAAGCGUUGUCCGGAUUUACUGGGCGUAAAGAGCGCGCAGGCGGUCAUUCAAGUCGCGUGUGAAAGCCCCCGGCUCAACUGGGGAGGGUCACGCGAUACUGAUCGACUCGAAAGGCAGGAGAGGGAAGUGGAAUUCCCCGGGUGUAGUGGUGAAAUGCGUAGAUAUCGGGAGGAACACCAGUGGCGAAGGCGACUACCUGGCCUGUUCUUGACGCUGAGGCGCGAAAGCUAGGGGAGCAAACGGG
Molecule: ribosomal RNA, 256 nt
Filed under: uncultured bacterium
Lineage: Bacteria
Description: partial 16S ribosomal RNA
Rfam family: Bacterial small subunit ribosomal RNA
Source: RNAcentral